GCUAAUUAGUAAAAAAAAUAAUCUGUGUUGCUUAGUGGAUCUUCCUAAAAGGAUUUGCAAAGGGUUUAAUGUAAAUAAUAAGUUCUUCUCUUCUAAAAGAAUGCCAAAGGAAGCAGUGUGGUAAGGCUACUAAAGUUUUUUGCAUUCCUGGGUGAGCUUGUGUCCUCCCACCCCCAGGUCUGCAAGAGGUUUUCUGAUCUUAACAAAAGCAAAAACAAACUCUUGCAUAUUGUUUUCCAGAGAGCAUAAAAUCAAAUUUUCCACCCCAAUUAACACUGUCUUUAUAAACCCAGUAGCAUCUCUGAUAAUUCAAGUAAACGGCAGGGUUGAGCUUUUUUUCCCCUUUAUUUGUUUAGAAAUGAAAUAUUGGGUUUUGGAAAUGUACACGAUGUGAUUAGAUUCUGCCAUGCUUAACACUGCUUAACAUUAUCACUGCUUAAGAAUGUAUUAAGAGUUCUUGAUCAUGCAGUCCAUGGCUCUAUAAGUCCAUCCAUAAUAUCAUUUUUUAAGCUCAGACAUUUAGAUCUGGAAGGAACAAUGAAGGUAAUGUAGUUCCUCAUUUUACAGAUGAGAAGCCUGGGUCCUUAAAGAAAUGAAGUAUCCCAUCCAAGAUUAUCAAGCUCUUAGGACUUCGCACAUUUCCAGAUCACCUAUGAGGAGGAACACAAAUGAGAGACAUCAGGGACCUGCUUCUGGGAGAAGAUAUUCUACACUCUCAGACCUAGUGGAUGGGACCAGCCUCUUUCCACUGACUGUGUAACCAGAACCAGAUGCAUCUUUAAAAGUAUCACACUGGGAAAGUCUUGUUCUCUCCUUCUGGCACCAUCUUGAUCUGGUAAAUGUCUUGUUCAUAUGCAGCAUGGACACCAUGCACUAAAUUUAUUGGGGGGAAAGCUACCCUCCACCUCUCCCUUUAAGCUUGCUGAUGACCCCAAGAAAUGAGCUUGGAAUUGUAAUCUUUCUGAUUUAUACUUUUUUUCAGCUCCAGGUGCAGAUAGUGGGCCUAAGACCUGGAAGCUCAAGCCAUGAAGACCAUUUCUUUAAGGAGCACUUUGUAAUUUAAUCCAUAUAAUAUUUUGUGUAUUUUUGUAGGUUGGUUGUCAAAUACUUCAUGCAUUUUGGAGUUAUUUUAGAAUGGAAUUUCCCUGUCUAUUAUUGCCUCUUGGAUUUUAUUACAAAGAAAUUCUAUUGAUAUUUGAGGGCAUGUUUUAUAUAGUCUCCAAUUGAGCAAAAGCUGUUAAUUGUCUCAAUUAUUUUUAUGUUGAUUUCCACAAUUUUCUAGGUAAACCAUCAUAGAUCUGGAAAAUAGGGCUAGUUUUAUCUCCUAUUUACCUCUCUUUAUGCCUUUAAUUUCUAUUGUCUUAUUAGAACUAUAUAGAAUAAUACUGAGGAGAGUGAGUGUCCUUAUUCUACUCCUAUACUAUUGGAGAAAUUUCUAUAGUAUGUAUCCCCAUUGUGAAUGAUGAUUACUUUUGGUCUUAGAGAGAUAUUUUUUAUAAUAGUAAAAAUGAUCUCUCUCCCUAUAAUUUAAAGGAAAUUUUAGCAUAAAAGCGAACAGUAUUUUAUACAGUUUCUUCCUCCCUCAACCACAUCUAUUGAAAUAAUAAUACAGCUUUGGAUGUUUUUGUUUUUCAUGUAAUUAUAUUAUUUUCCUAAUAAAUAAUAAUGCAUACCUCA
Monodelphis domestica (gray short-tailed opossum) is the source of this 1677-nucleotide long non-coding RNA. Lineage: Eukaryota; Metazoa; Chordata; Mammalia; Didelphimorphia; Didelphidae. The record is from Ensembl.